AUUGAACGCUGGCGGCAAGCCUAACACAUGCAAGUCGAACGAGUGGCGGACGGGUGAGUAAUGUCUGGGAAACUGCCUGAUGGAGGGGGAUAACUACUGGAAACGGUAGCUAAUACCGCAUACCAUCGGAUGUGCCCAGAUGGGAUUAGCUAGUAGGUGGGGUAAAGGCUCAACUAGGCGACGAUCCCUAGCUGGUCUGAUAGGAUGACCAGCCACACUGGAACUGGGACACGGUCCAGACUCCUACGGGAGGCGGCAGUGGGGAAUAUUGCACAAUGGGCGCAAGCCUGAUGCAGCCAUGCCGCGGGUAUGAAGAGGGCCUUCGGGGUGUAAAGUACUUUCAGCGGGGAGGCGUUACCCGCAGAAGAAGCACCGGCUAACUCCGUGCCAGCAGCCGCGGUAAUAC
Molecule: ribosomal RNA, 406 nt
Filed under: uncultured bacterium
Lineage: Bacteria
Description: partial 16S ribosomal RNA
Rfam family: Bacterial small subunit ribosomal RNA
Source: RNAcentral